ACUCAAAUGAAUUGACGGGGACUUGCACAAGCAGUGGAUUAUGUGGUUUAAUUCGACGGUAAACGAAGAACCUCACCAGGGUUUGAAACUAACUUGAAAUCUCCAGAAACGGAGCCCUCGCAAGACAAGUUAGCAGGUGCUGCAUGGCCGUCGUCAGUUCGUGGUUUGAAUUGUUCCCUUAAGUGGGGUAACGAACGCAACCCUCGUUGUGUGUUAUAUUUGUCACACAAGACCGCCCAGAACUUUGUUCAUAAAUUAAAAAUUUGUGUAUAAAGUUCUGGGAGGAAGGAGAGGAUGACGCCAGGUCAGCAUGGCCCUUUGAUACCCUGGGCUACACACAUAAUACAAUGGCUAUAACAACAGGACGCGACGUGGUAACACUGAGCAAAUCCUUAUAAAAAUAGCCUCAGUUCGGAUUGAGGUCUGCAACUCGACCUCAUGAAGUUGGAAUUGCUAGUAAUCGCGGGUCAGACAUACCGCGGUGAAUACGUUCUCAAGUCUUGUACACACCGCCCGU
RNAcentral lists this ribosomal RNA (517 nucleotides) under uncultured bacterium. RNAcentral describes it as "partial 16S ribosomal RNA". It matches the Rfam family "Bacterial small subunit ribosomal RNA", at positions 899 to 1397 of the family's 1533-position model. The record is from RNAcentral.